Molecule: unclassified non-coding RNA, 278 nt
Filed under: Russula sp. NC2172
Lineage: Eukaryota; Fungi; Basidiomycota; Agaricomycetes; Russulales; Russulaceae
Description: internal transcibed spacer 2
Source: RNAcentral
UAUCAAAACCCUUUUUCUUUGAUCCUUUUUGGAGCGGAAAAGGACUUUUGGACUUGGAGGUUCAAUGCUCGCUUUCGCCUUUGAAAGCGAGCUCCUCUCAAAUGAAUUAGUGGGGUCCGCUUUGCCGAUCCUUGACGUGAUAAGAUGUUUCUACGUUUUGGAUUUGGCACUGUCCCUUGGACGUCCGCUCCUAACCGUCCGUCUUAUGGACAAUGAUGGUGCUCUGGUCGCCGGCCACCUACGUUGGCGGGAGGCUGGACCCACAAAAAACCUUGACC